RNAcentral lists this ribosomal RNA (273 nucleotides) under uncultured bacterium. Its description in RNAcentral is "partial 16S ribosomal RNA". It matches the Rfam family "Bacterial small subunit ribosomal RNA", at positions 524 to 796 of the family's 1533-position model. The record is from RNAcentral.
GACAGAGGGUGCAAACGUUGUUCGGAAUUACUGGGCGUAAAGCGCGUGUAGGCGGCUUUGCAAGUCGGGCGUGAAAUCCCAUGGCUCAACCAUGGAAGUGCACUCGAAACUGCAGAACUAGAGUCCUGGAGAGGAAGGCGGAAUGCUUGGUGUAGAGGUGAAAUUCGUAGAUAUCAAGCAGAACACCGGUGGCGAAGGCGGCCUUCUGGACAGUGACUGACGCUGAGACGCGAAAGCGUGGGGAGCAAACAGGAUUAGAAACCCCUGUAGUCC